RNAcentral lists this long non-coding RNA (754 nucleotides) under Anser brachyrhynchus (Pink-footed goose). Its description in RNAcentral is "lncRNA (ENSABRG00000021737.1)". The record is from RNAcentral. Lineage: Eukaryota; Metazoa; Chordata; Aves; Anseriformes; Anatidae.
GAAUAGUUGUCCCCUUAGAACAAAGAGCAUUGUUCUGUGGCAUAAAAAGAGAAUGGAUGUAAAGAGAUGCACAUCCCAGACCGCCGUCCCACACAGCUCCCCUGCCACAGCACUGGUGCCAAGGAGCAGGACCAGGCACAGUGCUGGUUUCAGGGAGAAAAAAGAUAUUUUGAAGAUCUCUGCGCCUGGCAUAAGGAAAGUGCACUCUCUGUGUUCCUGCUUGAAAUCCUUGUCCUUGCAGUUCCCCCAGCAGAGCUACAGGUUCUCAGGAGACCAUGGAAGAGACCCAGACUGCUGCAUGCUAUUGAUCACAGUUCCAGAGGUCUCCAGAUGAGACAGAAGCCAGCAUAUGCAGUUUGGCAGAUGAAGAAUCAGUGCAGUCAACACAUGCCGUGAAGUCACGUAGCCAUCCCACUGUGCUGCUCUUGAAGAGAGAUUCUGGGCAGAAAUCCUGCAGGACACCUGGCACAUUGAUUAUCCUUAUGUAAGUUUUAAUCUUCACUGCAAGAGCAAAGAUGGCCUUGUUAGAGGCUGUAUUAUCUCUGCCUUCCUCCUCCACAUCUCCCACUGUUUUUUCAAUAGCUCACAUAAGUGCUUUCUCAGCCUCUUCUGCGUGCAGCACCACGAAGAGGCAGCAAGCUAUCUGCAGCACAUGCACACCCAGCAGUGGGUGGCCAUCGGGUGUACAGCACACCAGGUCAUUAACGUCUGCAGUUCGCAGGGAGAGCAAGGAACAUGGCAUGUAUAAUCAACA